RNAcentral lists this ribosomal RNA (1346 nucleotides) under uncultured bacterium. RNAcentral's name for it is "partial 16S ribosomal RNA". It matches the Rfam family "Bacterial small subunit ribosomal RNA", at positions 28 to 1381 of the family's 1533-position model. The record is from RNAcentral.
GACGAACGCUGGCGGCGUGCUUAAUACAUGCAAGUCGAACGGAAAGGCCCUGCUUUUGUGGGGUGCUCGAGUGGCGAACGGGUGAGUAACACGUGAGUAACCUGCCCUUGACUUUGGGAUAACUUCAGGAAACUGGGGCUAAUACCGGAUAGGAGCUCCUGCUGCAUGGUGGGGGUUGGAAAGUUUCGGCGGUUGGGGAUGGACUCGCGGCUUAUCAGCUUGUUGGUGGGGUAGUGGCUUACCAAGGCUUUGACGGGUAGCCGGCCUGAGAGGGUGACCGGCCACAUUGGGACUGAGAUACGGCCCAGACUCCUACGGGAGGCAGCAGUGGGGAAUAUUGCACAAUGGGCGGAAGCCUGAUGCAGCAACGCCGCGUGCGGGAUGACGGCCUUCGGGUUGUAAACCGCUUUCGCCUGUGACGAAGCGUGAGUGACGGUAAUGGGUAAAGAAGCACCGGCUAACUACGUGCCAGCAGCCGCGGUGAUACGUAGGGUGCGAGCGUUGUCCGGAUUUAUUGGGCGUAAAGGGCUCGUAGGUGGUUGAUCGCGUCGGAAGUGUAAUCUUGGGGCUUAACCCUGAGCGUGCUUUCGAUACGGGUUGACUUGAGGAAGGUAGGGGAGAAUGGAAUUCCUGGUGGAGCGGUGGAAUGCGCAGAUAUCAGGAGGAACACCAGUGGCGAAGGCGGUUCUCUGGGCCUUUCCUGACGCUGAGGAGCGAAAGCGUGGGGAGCGAACAGGCUUAGAUACCCUGGUAGUCCACGCUGUAAACGGUGGGUACUAGGUGUGGGGUCCAUUCCACGGGUUCCGUGCCGUAGCUAACGCUUUAAGUACCCCGCCUGGGGAGUACGGCCGCAAGGCUAAAACUCAAAGGAAUUGACGGGGCCCCGCACAAGCGGCGGAGCAUGCGGAUUAAUUCGAUGCAACGCGUAGAACCUUACCUGGGUUUGACAUGGAUCGGGAGUGCUCAGAGAUGGGUGUGCCUCUUUUGGGGUCGGUUCACAGGUGGUGCAUGGCUGUCGUCAGCUCGUGUCGUGAGAUGUUGGGUUAAGUCCCGCAACGAGCGCAACCCUUGUUCACUGUUGCCAGCACGUUAUGGUGGGGACUCAGUGGAGACCGCCGGGGUCAACUCGGAGGAAGGUGGGGAUGACGUCAAGUCAUCAUGCCCCUUAUGUCCAGGGCUUCACGCAUGCUACAAUGGCUGGUACAGAGAGUGGCGAGCCUGUGAGGGUGAGCGAAUCUCGGAAAGCCGGUCUCAGUUCGGAUUGGGGUCUGCAACUCGACCUCAUGAAGUCGGAGUCGCUAGUAAUCGCAGAUCAGCAACGCUGCGGCGAAUACGUUCCCGGGGCU